ACCGGUGCCGCCACCACCAGGCAACGGCGUUCCCACGCCUAGCUCCUCCUCCUCGCCGUGGUCCUGGCGCCACGACGUCCCGUCCGGUGCACCGCCCCAACCCGGAUUUCCAUCCACGAUGGUCAGACCCGCCUUUCCACCCCCACCUCCCUGCAGGAACCUUCAACUUGCAGCCGGCGGAGGCCCCCACCUCCUCGUACCUCCCUCCCUCGCUCUAGCCCAGUUGUGCCUCCGCCAUGGCCAGAUCCACCAUCGUUGCAACACCCCGCGCCCGGAUCCAGCUCCCACGAGCCCCGAAAUUCAUUCAUACAGCCGACAGGGAGGUGGUGAUGGCUGGGGGAUGCGCUCCAACACUCACCCACGGGUCCGAGGCAGCGGCCAACCAUCGGAUCGGUGCUCCCCGUGCAGCUCGGUUGCCACCCCCGUGCAGCUCGCCUGAGUAAAUUCUCUCCGGUGAGUCCACAUCGCGUCUCCACCAGUCGUUGCGUGCAGUUCGGUUACAGGGUAGGUUUCAGCACGGGAAGCACAGCAGCACUCCCACCAAAGGGCCUAGUGCGAAUGCAGCCCAGGUCGCCGCUCGGUGCAGUCCACCUCGCCAUGCGGUGACGUACACCGGCGACAAGAGCUCGGAGCAGUUCUUGGCACGUGCACGUGCAGCCCAGAACUCUCUCCACUGUCGCCCACCACCACCUCAUCCACAUCCUGUGUCCUGCGUGGCUACCACCUUGUAUCUCCCUGCCACACUCCUCCCUUCCCAAGUCUUUGACCUCGGCUCCCGAGCACACCGCGUACAUGAGCACCAGAUCCCUCGUCAUCCACUUCCUAGAAGGUCCGGCAGAGCUGCUAUGUUGCUAGCCUAUGGUGGGGACGGUGGCAGAUGUGGGCAUGGAGCAGGAGGCUGUCAUCGCUGCCGCUCGAUUUUGACCAGCUCGGAUGAGCCCGCAACUCCUCCAACAAGUUCAGAGUUUGUGUGUUCAGUGCAGUGCUGCAGUGCACUGCAGUGUAGUUUCAGUUUCAGAGUCCCGUCGAAGGCAUCGUGGUGCUAUCCUCACUUAAUAUUUGGUGUGCAUUAUAGUUCAAUCAUUUUUGUUGCUGGUGGACUGCUUGCUGGUGGAUGAGCAUCCUCGGCUGCUCGCAGUUUGCUAGGGCCAUUGAGUAACUUAUCUGUUGUCUUGAGGCAGCACAUGUUUUCUUAAAAUGGAGGCAGCACGUGUUUACUAGAGGUGCAGCCCCAAAUCAGUUCUCUCCAAUAAGCAGAAAGAAAAAGGUUUCACUUUUUUUAAGUUCACUUUGUUUUUGAACCUCGCAGGAGACUAAGUUGAUGCAGGUCGCCCGACCGAGGCCUAUGGUUCGCGAGUCCAUUUUUGGUCAAACAAAGUCAAUUUUGUGUGUGAUUUUUUUGCCGUUCACUUCUCGUAUGGGAAAAAAGUUUACUUUCACUUGAUGUGGUCCCACAAGAGGUUCACUUCUUUUAUUAAUGCACUUUUUUUUGUUAGACGAUUAGAAAAAAGGAGUCGAAGUUCACUAGAAAAAGGAGUUUACUUUGUAAAAAAUUGUACAAAGGAGUUCACUUUUUAUUAAUUUUGGAGGAAUUGUUUUUUGCAAAUUUGUAAGGACAUUGUUUAUAAUUUGUUAAAAAUUGUGCAGCUCAUUAAGAAAACCUUUGCGGUGCACUUUCCAGAACAAUAAAAAUGAUGAAUUUCAUGGUUGCUCUAAUGCAUUACACACCUGCGGUUGAGUUAACCAUAUUUUGCAG
RNAcentral lists this long non-coding RNA (1756 nucleotides) under Triticum aestivum (bread wheat). Its description in RNAcentral is "long non-coding RNA (TAES_LNC022719)". The record is from RNAcentral. Lineage: Eukaryota; Viridiplantae; Streptophyta; Magnoliopsida; Poales; Poaceae.